Molecule: ribosomal RNA, 377 nt
Filed under: uncultured Babesia
Lineage: Eukaryota; Apicomplexa; Aconoidasida; Piroplasmida; Babesiidae
Description: SSU rRNA
Rfam family: Eukaryotic small subunit ribosomal RNA
Source: RNAcentral
UGACAGAAUAACAAUACAGGGCUAAUGUCUUGUAAUUGGAAUGAUGGUGACCCAAACCCUCACCAGAGUAGCAAUUGGAGGGCAAGUCUGGUGCCAGCAGCCGCGGUAAUUCCAGCUCCAAUAGCGUAUAUUAAACUUGUUGCAGUUAAAAAGCUCGUAGUUGAAUUUUAGCGUGUUCGAGUUUGCCAUUCGUUUGGCUUUUUCGAGUUCGCUUUUGGGUUUUCCCUUUUUACUUUGAGAAAAUUAGAGUGUUUCAAGCAGACUUUUGUCUUGAAUACUUCAGCAUGGAAUAAUAGAGUAGGACUUUGGUUCUAUUUUGUUGGUUAUUGAACCUUAGUAAUGGUUAAUAGGAACGGUUGGGGGCAUUCGUAUUUAAA